RNAcentral lists this ribosomal RNA (524 nucleotides) under uncultured bacterium. Its description in RNAcentral is "bacterial SSU rRNA". It matches the Rfam family "Bacterial small subunit ribosomal RNA", at positions 28 to 523 of the family's 1533-position model. The record is from RNAcentral.
GACGAACGCUGGCGGCGUGCCUAACACAUGCAAGUCGAGCGGGGUUGAAGCGAGGGGUAACUCGAGUUUCUACCUAGCGGCGGACGGGUGAGUAACGCGUGGGCAACCUGCCUCAAGGACUGGGAUAACAGCUCGAAACGGCUGCUAAUACCGCAUAAGCUUUUUAGGACACAUGUUUUAGAAAGUAAAGGAGGCUUUCAGCUUCCGCUUAUGGAUGGGCCCGCGUCUGAUUAGCUAGUUGGUAGGGUAACGGCCUACCAAGGCAACGAUCAGUAGCGGCCUGAGAGGGUGGACGGCCACACUGGGACUGAGACACGGCCCAGACUCCUACGGGAGGCAGCAGUGGGGAAUAUUGCGCAAUGGGGGAAACCCUGACGCAGCGACGCCGCGUGAGCGAAGAAGGCCUUCGGGUUGUAAAGCUCUGUUGUAAGGGACGAAAGAAUAAGGGAGUAACUGACCCUUAAAGUGACGGUACCUUACAGACAACGUCCCCGGACUAACUACGUGCCUAGCAGCCGCGUAAG